GGGGGCGAAAUGGUUUCGACGGGGGAAUUGGUGGCAGGAGCAGCGAGCCGGGGUUCCAUCUGCCCGCAAUACGGUGGGAAAACAUUAAUUGCCAACAACGAAUACGCUUUAGCUGCUUAAUCGCAGUUAACAUCCUGCCCGCGCCGGGCCCGUGACCCGGGACAGGGUGUCAGACUAACGGGCUGGCUGCCGGAUCAAUUCUCGGAGAACCGGCGGGACACUCAUCGAGAUAGCGUCUGAGGAGGCCGGCUGCGGCCGCCGAAGGGGCGAAAUCUAAAGCGCAGCCUGCGCUCGGAGAAACUCCUGUGGUCGUUCUUCCGGACGGCGGGUUCGACUCCCCCCGCCUCCACCA
Molecule: transfer-messenger RNA, 352 nt
Filed under: Desulfotomaculum copahuensis
Lineage: Bacteria; Bacillati; Bacillota; Clostridia; Eubacteriales; Desulfotomaculaceae
Also listed under: 1 other name
Rfam family: transfer-messenger RNA
About the family: Bacterial tmRNA, also known as 10Sa RNA or SsrA, is named for its dual tRNA and mRNA-like properties. Its role is to liberate the mRNA from a stalled ribosome. To accomplish this part of the tmRNA is used as a reading frame that ends in a translation stop signal.
Source: Rfam by way of RNAcentral